This 253-nucleotide ribosomal RNA is filed under the name uncultured bacterium. RNAcentral's name for it is "partial 16S ribosomal RNA". It matches the Rfam family "Bacterial small subunit ribosomal RNA", at positions 524 to 776 of the family's 1533-position model. The record is from RNAcentral.
GACGAACCACACGAACGUUAUUCGGAAUUACUGGGCUUAAAGGGUGCGUAGGCUGUGCGGAAAGUUAGGUGUGAAAUCCCCCGGCUCAACCGGGGAAUUGCGCUUAAAACUACCGUGCUAGAGGAAUACAGAGGUGAGCGGAACUUCGGGUGGAGCGGUGAGAUGCGUUGAUAUCCGAAGGAACACCGGUGGCGAAAGCGGCUCACUGGGUAUUUUCUGACGCUGAGGCACGAAAGCUAGGGUAGCGAACGGG